UGGGGAAUUUUGGACAAUGGGCGCAAGCCUGAUCCAGCCAUGCCGCGUGAGUGAAGAAGGCCUUCGGGUUGUAAAGCUCUUUCGGACGGGAAGAAAUGGCGGGCUCUAACAUAGCCUGUCGAUGACGGUACCGUAAGAAGAAGCACCGGCUAACUACGUGCCAGCAGCCGCGGUAAUACGAAGGGUGCGAGCGUUACCCGGAUUUACUGGGUGUAAAGGGCGUGUAGGCGGUUUCUCAAGUCCGAUGCUAAAGACCGAAGCUCAACUUCGGGAGUGCGUUGGAGACUGUGAUGCUAGACGGUCGGAGAGGGUAGCGGAAUUUCCUGAGUAGCGGUGAAAUGCGCAGAUACAGGAAGGAACGCCAAUAGCGAAAGCAGCUACCUGGACGAUUUGUGACGCUGAGGCGCGAAAGCGUGUGGAGCAAACC
Molecule: ribosomal RNA, 427 nt
Filed under: uncultured bacterium
Lineage: Bacteria
Description: bacterial SSU rRNA
Rfam family: Bacterial small subunit ribosomal RNA
Source: RNAcentral